Molecule: ribosomal RNA, 254 nt
Filed under: uncultured bacterium
Lineage: Bacteria
Description: partial 16S ribosomal RNA
Rfam family: Bacterial small subunit ribosomal RNA
Source: RNAcentral
UACGUAGGGGGCGAGCGUUGUCCGGAAUCAUUGGGCGUAAAGAGCUCGUAGGCGGCUCAGUAAGUCGGCUGUGAAAGCCCGGGGCUCAACCCCGGAACUGCAGUCGAUACUGCUGUGGCUAGAGUCCGGUAGAGGAGAGUGGAAUUCCCGGUGUAGCGGUGGAAUGCGCAGAUAUCGGGAGGAACACCAGUAGCGAAGGCGGCUCUCUGGGCCGGUACUGACGCUGAGGAGCGAAAGCGUGGGGAGCAAACAGG